UGGCUCAGUUGGUAGAGCAUUGCGCUUGUAAUGCUAGGGUUGUGGGUUUGAUUCCCAU
RNAcentral lists this transfer RNA (58 nucleotides) under Salmo salar (Atlantic salmon). It matches the Rfam family "tRNA", at positions 8 to 63 of the family's 71-position model. Rfam says of the family: Transfer RNA (tRNA) molecules are approximately 80 nucleotides in length. Their secondary structure includes four short double-helical elements and three loops (D, anti-codon, and T loops). RNAcentral also lists the same sequence under 1 other name. The record is from Rfam by way of RNAcentral. Lineage: Eukaryota; Metazoa; Chordata; Actinopteri; Salmoniformes; Salmonidae.